GGACUGCAGUCUGCAACCCGACUGCACGAAGCUGGAAUCGCUAGUAAUCGCGGAUCAGCAUGCCGCGGUGAAUACGUUCCCGGGUCUUGUACACACCGCCCGUCACACCAUGGGAGCCGGAAAUGCCCGAAGCCUGUGACCCAACCCGCAAGGGGGGAGCAGUCGAAGGCGGGGCCGGUGACUGGGGUGAAGUCGUAACAAGGUAGC
Molecule: ribosomal RNA, 207 nt
Filed under: uncultured bacterium
Lineage: Bacteria
Description: partial 16S ribosomal RNA
Rfam family: Bacterial small subunit ribosomal RNA
Source: RNAcentral